Molecule: ribosomal RNA, 253 nt
Filed under: uncultured bacterium
Lineage: Bacteria
Description: partial 16S ribosomal RNA
Rfam family: Bacterial small subunit ribosomal RNA
Source: RNAcentral
UACAUAGGGGGCAAGCGUUAUCCGGAAUUAUUGGGUGUAAAGGGUGCGUAGACGGAGAAACAAGUUGGUUGUGAAAUCCCUCGGCUCAACCGAGGAACUGCAACCAAAACUAUUUCCCUUGAGUGUCGGAGAGGAAAGUGGAAUUCCUAGUGUAGCGGUGAAAUGCGUAGAUAUACGGAGGAACACCAGUGGCGAAGGCGGAUUGCUGGACAGUAACUGACGCUGAGGCGCGAAAGCGUGGGGAGCAAACAGG